AACCUCAUUGAUGGGAAGGAAUUCCUUCCAAUCAAUGAGGUUGUUAUGAACCUCAUUGAUUGGAAGUCAAUGAGGGUCACAACCUCAUCAAUUGGAAGGCAUUCCUUCCAAUCAAUGAGGUU
Molecule: microRNA precursor, 122 nt
Filed under: Puccinia graminis f. sp. tritici CRL 75-36-700-3
Lineage: Eukaryota; Fungi; Basidiomycota; Pucciniomycetes; Pucciniales; Pucciniaceae
Description: microRNA MIR807
Source: RNAcentral